GCAGGUGGAGUUGAACUGCAAGCUUUGAGAAUUCAGCUGGUGAGGUUGGUUUGGGCUUGGUCAAAUUGGUUGGGCCCCGAAGUACGUUAAACCACGUGUCCUUUCCCUUUGGGUUGGGAUGUGCGAUACACUUACCAAGUGUUGCACGCUUUGGGUGUUCAUCGAGCCUCCUUGUCAGUGCACUUUCUCAGAGUGGUCACCACGACCGACGCCGCUGUCAGGCUGUCAUAGUUAAACCGGUCUUGUAGUGUCCUUGUGGCAUUGCCUGGUCGGGAUGGCAGGUAGCUUGUUGGCUCGCUUCGGCUUGCUUUCGAGUGUAAUCAGCUGACUGUGACGGUUCUGUGCAGUGCGUCGGAGACGGCGGCCAGUGGUGUGUGCAUGCGUGCCCGAUUUGUUGGCGUACCCUGGUUUGGUUUCUGUGUUGCCUGUGAUAGCAGGCCUAGUUAUGGCUGGGGUUCGUUCGGCGAAUGGUUGCGUGUGUGGCACUUCCAAGGGCCAAUAGUCUGUGGUGUAGUGGUA
RNAcentral lists this ribosomal RNA (519 nucleotides) under Dicrocoelium dendriticum. Its description in RNAcentral is "partial large subunit ribosomal RNA". The record is from RNAcentral. Lineage: Eukaryota; Metazoa; Platyhelminthes; Trematoda; Plagiorchiida; Dicrocoeliidae.